AUGGAUGUAUUAAGAAACGUUGACAUUUUGAAACCCCGAAUUAAAAGAUCGAGGAGUAUACUCGAAAGAGAAGAAAUAGAUACAGAGUACCAUCCCAAUAAGCAUCAUAACAAUAGUAGUAAUAAUAACAAGCAGAUAGUACCACAUGAUAGUAUUUUAAAAAAUACUUCAUUGUGUUAUGCAUGGAACGCAUAUUUUGAAAAACAGAAAGUAAAAAAGAAUAUUAUGAUUUAUUGUGAUUUAAAUAAGAUAUGUACAGAAAUAUGUAAAGGAGUUGAAAAUAACAAUUUGACUAUUAAGAAUUUUGCAUUUUUACUUAUUGGUGUUUGUAAUAUAUAUAAAAAGAAAUUAUAUUUUAUUGGUCAGGAUUAUGAAUUAUUGAAAAGGAAAAUAUUUUCUUUGUAUAAAAGUAAAGAUGAUGAUGAUAACGAUUUAAUGAAUUCGAAAGAUAAAAGGAAAAGAAAAAUAGGUAAUAAAAAUAAUGAUGAUACAACUGGGAAUAAUAAUAAUAAAAAAAGGUUGAAUAGAACAUCUUUGAAUAUAAAAAGAGGUUCACUUAAUUUGAGUAAUAUAAUGAUACCAACAGUAUUUGAUGAUUUUCGUAUUAGAAAAUCAAGAUUUUCUUUAAAUGCGGACGAAAUUAGUAUAGCUGGAGUGGAAGAUAAUAAUUACAUUGAUUCAUAUAACGACAAUGAGAUGAAUAAUCAAUUACUUAUGGAUAUAUCUGGUAUUAAUUCAAUGAAUUUUGAUAACGAUAAUAAUGAUUUUAUGAACAAUAAUCUUAUGAACAAUAAUCUUAUGAACAAUAAUCUUAUGAACAAUAAUNNNNNNNNNNAUCUUAUGAACAAUAAUCUUAUGAACAAUAAUCUUAUGAACAAUAAUAUUAUGAACAGUAAUAUUAUGAACAGUAAUAAUUAUCAUUCAUAUGAUAUGGAAAAUGUAUUAGAUGGUUCUUAUGUAUCACGUAAUAGUAUUCAAUCAAAUCAAUUUGAUAAUUUACCUUUAAAUAAAUCUUUAUCACAAUCUUUUCAUCUUAUGGAUAGUUUAAAUGUAGAUAAUUCGUUACUAAAUAAUAUGAUUCCUAAAAAUGCUUUUAACAAUAUGGAAAACAGUUUAAAUGAAAAAAGUAUGUUAGGAGGUGAAUACAGCAAUUUAGAUUUGAACGAUUUACAUAAAACGGAUGAUAGUAAUACGUUAUCAAUGAAUAUGUACAAUAGUGCAGAACGUGAAAACAUGAAUAAUAGUAUGAACAAUAGUAUGAACAAUAGUAUGAANNNNNNNNNNAAUAGUAUGAAUAAUAGUAUGAACAAUAGUAUGAACAAUAGUAUGAAUUUUAUACAUGAUAAAUAUAAACGGGCAAGUGUUAUGAGCAACAGUAAUACUUUUCAAAUGAACAAUCCAUUUAAUGAUAUUACUGUUCAUCCAAAUGAACCUGGUUUGGAUUUGAAACGAAGCAGAUUAAGUAUUGACAGUAAUAACAUAAAUAAUGAAAAUAUGAUAAAUCUUGUUAAUAAUAAUGGCGGGUUAAAUAUGUCUAACAAUUUUCAAAAAUUUGGAACCACUGGUUUUGAUAAUAUGUAUGGUAGUAACUUUGUUGGAGGUUAUAGUAACAGGAUUCGUACUUCGGUAACUCCAAGAGGAGAUGAUUUUUAUAAUUUUAAUCCAUACAUGAAUUCAAUGAACAUGUAUGAUCCAAAUAAUAUAAAUCUUAUGAAUAAUUAUCAUCAUCAAGAUUUUACACAAAGAAUGCAUAUAAACAAUUUUAAUGAUAUUGAUGAUAGUGGAAGUAAUAAUGUUAUGAUGGGAAGUAUGUUCAGUUUAAUGAAAAAAAAGAAAGCACCAAAAAAAAAUGAUUUUACAAAUUUAUUAAAUUAUGAAACAUAUCAUAAUUUUGAUUAUUUUGAUCAAAAAGAUGACGAUGCUUUUAUUCAAAAGUUGAAUGCUUUGCUUGGUUUAGAUGAGAAUGAAAAGGAGGAUGGAAACCAGAAAGUAGAAGAGAAAGAAGAAGAAGAAGAAAAGGGAUCGGUUGUAAAUGAAAACGUAAAUGGUACGCUUGCUACUGUAACACCUAUAAAGGAUGGUUCUACUAUAAAUAAUGAAUCAAACGAAAAAGAAGAUUCAAAAACUGCAGAUAAUGAGAAAAAAGAAACGGAUGAAUUGGCUAUUUUUAAUAAACAUGGAAAUAAUACUACAACACCAAGUAUGAGAAAAAAAAAAACAGAAAAACAUGUGGUUGAUAAAAGUUGUAUCAUUAAAGAUAGACAACUUAAAAGUAUAUUAAAAAACGAAAGUGUAGAUUAUAAAAACUUUUUGGUUAAUAGCAUACAAAAUGAAAUAUGUGAAAAGAUACAAAAAGAAUAUCCAUUAUAUCAAUAUUUUUAUAUGCAUACAACUAAUGAAAAAAAUAUAAAACAUUUGCAAUUUUAUAGAUUGGAAACAAAUUUUGGAUAUUAUUCAACAAAUCAUAGUGAUAGAAAACAUAUAUUAGAACAAUGUUUAAAUUGUCCAUUAACUCCAAAUUAUGACUAUUAUGAGUUUAAACAUAAAAAUGACAGAUAUUCGAUUGAGGAUGAAAGUAGAGAUGACACUAGUGUCUCCCAAACUACUACAAGUCAUAGCCUUGCUGAUGAUUAUAACGAUGAUUUUUUUUUAUAUAACUUAAAUGAACCUAUGUUUGAUAAUGACAUGUUUUUAUCUUUGGGAAAGGGACUAAAUGGAGGUGAACUAAGUGGAGAUGAAUUGGGCCAAGAUGAAUUAGGCCAAGAUGAAUUAGGUCGAGACCACCUAAGCCGAGAUGAUAAUGAUCAUAUGAAUUUUGAAGAAGUAAGAGAACAAUUCAAUGACAUAGAUUAUGAUAUGAACAAUCCAAGUAUGAAUCCAAAUGAUUAUAAAAAUAGAUCCAGUUUAAUGGACCCAAUGUUAUCUCAAACUGAUUAUUUAAAUGAUAUGAAUUUUAAAGAUACUAUCGAAUCAAAGAUGUUUUUGGAUAGUCAAAUGACAAAAAGUAUGAUAUUAAGUAAAGAAGAUAUAGAUAACAAUAGUCCUUAUAAUAAUAUAAGUGUUACAAGUGUUACAAAUGUUAAUACAAAUGAUGAUAUAUCAAAUAUAAAUACGAUAAGUGAUAAAUUAAAUUGGGAAUUUAAAGAUAGUAAUUCUGUUGAACAUCCUCAUUUAACCACUCCAUUAAAUAAUAACUUAAGUAAUAGUAAUAUAUUCAAUAAAUAUAAUGAAAGUGAAUUAUUAGAAGAAAAUAGUAAUGACAUAUAUAGAAAUGGAAGUGCAAGUGUAGCAAUAGAUAUAGAUGUUAAUAUAAAUAUGAAUCAAGACUUUGAUUGUUUAGCAAAAGAAUUAUUAGACAAUUAUAAAAAAUUAUCUACACAAAUAAAUUAUAUUUUUUUUGAUAUGAUUAUUAAAAAUGUACAAUCAAAAAAUGAUAUAGCAACUUUGUUUUAUACUACUUUACAUUUAGCAAACAUGGGACAUGUACAUAUUUUACAAAAGCCUAUACUCCCAACUCAGUUGGAGAAUAAUAAUCUUGAAGAAAAUAUGUCACGACCAAUAUUGAUACAAUACGCUGACAAGAGGAGAGCUAAAUAG
This is a long non-coding RNA of Piliocolobus tephrosceles (Ugandan red Colobus), 3597 nucleotides long. Lineage: Eukaryota; Metazoa; Chordata; Mammalia; Primates; Cercopithecidae. The record is from Ensembl.